GUGUGCCCCGGGCAGCUCGGCGCUGCUCUCUGGGGAGUGAGGACGGGCCGUCAGCGGGGAGGGAAAGUCAGAGAGAGGAGGCAGGAAUGGGGUCCGGAUCUUGCCUCCAGGGAGGGAAACGGAGGGGCUGGGGGACCCUGCUUGUCCCUGGGGAGCCCCCUGACCUCCCACAAGGGGUCUGACCUCUGACAUGGGUGUCCUUUUAGGAUAAGAAGGAAGAAAGACCUACCAUUGUCCUGGGACUGACCCUCAAAGGAAUGCAGGUCUAUGAGGAGGUGAACCACGCUCCGCAGCUGCUCCAUGACCUGCCCUGGCCCCGCAUCGGGAAGCUGGCCGUCCUGGGAAAGAAGUUCAAGAUCCGGCCGGACGGGCGGCCCGCGGCCCGCAAGCUGGAGUUCUACACGGGCUGCGCUGUCCGCUCCCGCCACCUGCUGUGCCUGCUCCGCGCCAGCCA
Molecule: long non-coding RNA, 454 nt
Organism: Myotis davidii
Lineage: Eukaryota; Metazoa; Chordata; Mammalia; Chiroptera; Vespertilionidae
Exons: 3
Source: RefSeq, a predicted model, not a curated record